AGCAGCCGCGGUAAUUCCAGCUCCAAUAGCGUAUAUUAAAGUUGUUGCAGUUAAAAGCUCGUAGUUGAAUUUCGGGAUCAAUUUGCUGGUCGGAACCUCUGGUACGUACUGGUAUUAUUGAUUUCUUUCAUUCUGAUAGAUCAUGGAUGUCAUUAAUUUGAUGACUUUGAGGAAUCGGAACUUUUACUUUAGAAAAAUUAGAGUGUUUAAAGCAGGCUUAUCAGGCUUGAAUACAUUAGCAUGGAAUAAUGAAAUAGGACGAUUGA
Molecule: unclassified non-coding RNA, 266 nt
Filed under: uncultured Glomus
Lineage: Eukaryota; Fungi; Glomeromycota; Glomeromycetes; Glomerales; Glomeraceae
Description: sequence contains 18S rRNA gene
Rfam family: Eukaryotic small subunit ribosomal RNA
Source: RNAcentral